AUUGAACGCUGGCGGCAUGCCUUACACAUGCAAGCCGAACGGCAGCGGGGGAGAAGCUUGCUUUUCCUGCCGGCGAGUGGCGAACGGGUGAGUAAUACAUCGGAACGUGCCCUGUAGUGGGGGAUAACUAGUCGAAAGAUUAGCUAAUACCGCAUACGACCUGAGGGUGAAAGUGGGGGACCGCAAGGCCUCAUGCUAUAGGAGCGGCCGAUGUCUGAUUAGCUAGUUGGUGGGGUAAAGGCCUACCAAGGCGACGAUCAGUAGCUGGUCUGAGAGGACGAGCAGCGACACUGGGACUGAGACACGGCCAAGACUCCGACGGGAGGCAGCGGUGGGGAAUUUUGGACAAUGGGCGAAAGCCUGAUCCAGCAAUGCCGCGUGUGUGAAGAAGGCCUUCGGGUUGUAAAGCACUUUUGUCCGGAAAGAAAUGGCUCUGGAUAAUACCUGGGGUCGAUGACGGUACCGGAAGAAUAAGGACCGGCUAACUACGUGCCAGCCGCCGCCGUAA
Molecule: ribosomal RNA, 508 nt
Filed under: uncultured bacterium
Lineage: Bacteria
Description: partial 16S ribosomal RNA
Rfam family: Bacterial small subunit ribosomal RNA
Source: RNAcentral